GUAAUAGGCUACCUCAAAACAAACCUAGCAAUAUGGGCAUGAUCGAAAAGAGAAGGAACCUGGUAGUAGAGGAAGCAAAACUGACUCUCCUAACCAAAGCUAAAUGACAAUUUCUAGGAAGCAAAGGAAACCAAUGAAGCAAAAGGGUUUUUCAUCAUGACAAAGCACCUACUCAUAUAAACCCCAAUGGAAGCCAUCCUAAAGAAAGACAAGCGUGGUAGAGCCCAUAGACAACAUUAAAAAGUAACCACACAAUACCUUGGAGAUGAACAGAGGGGAAAGACCAAACAAGCGCAAGGCCUCUUUAGCUCCUUUAACCAUUGAGAGACUAGGCACCAAUGAAAGGCGCCAGUGGCGUCACCAAGAGAUACCAUGCUGCUACAAAGGAGCCCAUCUAACCCAACGCUUCAAGGAAGAGAAGAGGCAAGGCCAUCGCCAAGAAACCCCCCUGCAUGCAGCCGCGCUGAUCAAAGGGAGACCUUUAAAAUGCCAUGUGCUGCAAAAGCCUAUAAAGCAAAUAGAUACAAAGCUUUAGAUGCACAUCAACAAAACCUUCUCCAAAUACCCAUAGAUAAGUUUAUUAUUUAUACACAACCAUUCUCCCAAAGGUAGAGAAGGCAACCCAACAUUUGAAACAGGAGGAUAGAGAGACCCCUUUUCCUGAAUGGCAGAAAGAGCCGUAAUGCUACUAAGGGACAAAGGCCGAGCUUUAGAACAACUAAAGACUAAGUUGAGAGAAUAGUUUUCUCUCUAUUAAAUAUG
RNAcentral lists this unclassified non-coding RNA (762 nucleotides) under Hevea brasiliensis (rubber tree). The record is from RNAcentral. Lineage: Eukaryota; Viridiplantae; Streptophyta; Magnoliopsida; Malpighiales; Euphorbiaceae.